This 23-nucleotide non-coding RNA is filed under the name Cricetulus griseus (Chinese hamster). The record is from RNAcentral. Lineage: Eukaryota; Metazoa; Chordata; Mammalia; Rodentia; Cricetidae.
UAAGAAAAUUGGCUACAACCCUG